UGCAGUCGAGCGGUAAGGCUCCUUCGGGAGUACACGAGCGGCGAACGGGUGAGUAACACGUGAGCAAUCUGCCCUUCACUUCGGGAUAACUCCGGGAAACCGAAGCUAAUACCGAAUACGACCACUUCAGGCAUCUGAUGGUGGUGGAAAGUUCCGGCGGUGAAGGAUGAGCUCGCGGCCUAUCAGCUUGUUGGUGGGGUAAUGGCCCACCAAGGCUUCGACGGGUAGCCGGCCUGAGAGGGUGACCGGCCACACUGGGACUGAGACACGGCCCAGACUCCUACGGGAGGCAGCAGUGGGGAAUAUUGGACAAUGGGCGAAAGCCUGAUCCAGCAACGCCGCGUGAGGGAUGACGGCCUUCGGGUUGUAAACCUCUUUCAGUAGGGACGAAGCGCAAGUGACGGUACCUACAGAAGAAGCACCGGCCAACUACGUGCCAGCAGCCGCGGUAAUACGUAGGGUGCGAGCGUUGUCCGGAAUUAUUGGGCGUAAAGGGCUCGUANGCGGUCUGUUGCGUCNGGAGUGAAAACUCANGGCUUAACCCUGANCCUGCUUCCNAUACNGGCAGACUANAGGUAUGCANGGGAGAACGGAAUUCCUGGUGUANCGGUGAAAUGCGCA
This 621-nucleotide ribosomal RNA is filed under the name Nocardioidaceae bacterium URHD0065. RNAcentral describes it as "bacterial SSU rRNA". It matches the Rfam family "Bacterial small subunit ribosomal RNA", at positions 56 to 692 of the family's 1533-position model. Lineage: Bacteria; Bacillati; Actinomycetota; Actinomycetes; Propionibacteriales; Nocardioidaceae. The record is from RNAcentral.